CAAAUUACCCAAUCCCAACUCAGGGAGGUAGUGACAAGAAAUAACAAUGCGGAGCCACAGGUUCUGCAAUUGGAAUGAGUACAAUUUAAACCACUUAACGAGUACCUAUUGGAGGGCAAGUCUGGUGCCAGCAGCCGCGGUAAUUCCAGCUCCAAUAGCGUAUAUGUAAGUUGUUGCGAUUAAAAAGCCCGUAGCUGAACCUCGGGCAGCCCUGACGGUCAACCAAUCGGUGCGUACUGUCGUGGGCUGCCUUUCUGCUGGGGACCGUAUCCUUGCAUUCACUUGCCGGGAACGGGACCUAGCAAGGUUACUUUGAGUAAAAUAGAGUGUUCAAAGCAAGCUAUCGCUCUGAAUACACUAGCAUGGGAUAACACGACAUGACCGAUGGUCUAUCUUGUUGGCCUGUAGACCCGUUGGUAAUGGCUAAUAGGGACGGUCGGGGGCAUUCGUAUUUCGCUGUCAGAGGUGAAAUUCUUGGAUUUGCGAAAGACGAACUACUGCGAAAGCAUUUGUCAAGGACGCUUUCAUUAGUCAAGGACGAAAGUCGGGGGAUCGAAGACGAUUAGAUACCGUCGUAGUCUCGACCAUAAACGAUGCCAAUUAGGGAUCGGAGGGUGGUAAUCUUAUGCCUCCUCCGGCACCUUCCGCGAAAGCAAAAUGUAUGGGCUUCGGGGGGAGUAUGGUCGCAAGGCUGAAACUUAAAGGAAUUGACGGAACGGCACCACCAGGCGUGGAGCCUGCGGCUUAAUUUGACUCAACACGGGAAAACUUACCAGGUCCAGACAAAAUUAGGAUUUACAGAUUGAUAGCUCUUUAAAGAUUUUUUGGAUGGUGGUGCAUGGCCGUUCUUAGUUCGUGGAUUGAUUUGUCAGGUUGAUUCCGGUAACGGACGAGACCCCAACCUACUAACUACGCUCCAGCUGAUUCCCAGCUGGCUAGCUUCUUAGAGGGACUCUCGGUGUUGAGCCGAUGGAGGUGGGGCAAUAACAGGUCUGUGAUGCCCUUAGAUGUCCUGGGCCGCACGCGCGCUACACUGAUGCAUUCAACGAGCCUACCCUUGGCCGAGAGGUCUGGGUAAUCUGCGAAACUGCAUCGUGAUGGGGCUAGAUUAUUGCAAUUAUUGAUCUUCAACGAGGAAUGCCUAGUAAGCGCGAGUCAUCAACUCGCGUUGAUUACGUCCCUGCCGUUUGUACACACCGCCCGUCGCUCCUACCGAUUGGGUGUGCUGGUGAAAUGUCCGGAUUGGGCGGCUCCCCGGUUUCCGGGGUACUGCUCGAGAAGCUCAUUGAACCCUCUCACCUAGAGGAAGGAGAAGUCGUAACAAGGUCU
This 1329-nucleotide ribosomal RNA is filed under the name Wittrockiella salina. Its description in RNAcentral is "SSU rRNA". It matches the Rfam family "Eukaryotic small subunit ribosomal RNA", at positions 437 to 1802 of the family's 1831-position model. Lineage: Eukaryota; Viridiplantae; Chlorophyta; Ulvophyceae; Cladophorales; Pithophoraceae. The record is from RNAcentral.